Molecule: long non-coding RNA, 494 nt
Organism: Canis lupus familiaris (dog)
Lineage: Eukaryota; Metazoa; Chordata; Mammalia; Carnivora; Canidae
Exons: 3
Source: RefSeq, a predicted model, not a curated record
CUGGGGUCAGGCCCCACCAGGCUCAUCGCCCAAAUGCAGGCCAAUGAUGUUCUACAAAAAGUAUCUGCUGCAAAAUCAUCAAAGCCAUUGUUUCCAAUCCUCUGUUCUUCAAUCCUCCAAGAAUAAUAAAAGCUGUCUCCUCCAGGGCCCCAACAAGAAGCAAACAGAGCAAAAAACAACAUCAGAAAAGAAGAGGUCCCAAGCUCACUAUCUUUUGCUAGAAACACAUUAUCUUCCUGAGGUCCUCCGAGAAGCAGAUCUUGAGAUAAAAGAGAAGACAAGAUGAUGGAUCCCCUCAGAUUUGACGAUCUGUGAGUCAAAGUGGUGCUAGGUGAGCCAGAACCAUGACACGCAUGAGCAGAAUGAGAAGCCAGGCCACAUGGCAUAGAAACCAGAUGGACAGAGAGGAGCCAAGAUUCAGCUACAGACAUAUCAGAAACCAAAAAGUACGCACAAAUGGAAGCAGCAGAACCCCAUGCUGGGAAGGCCUAAUA